RNAcentral lists this ribosomal RNA (395 nucleotides) under grassland soil clone sl3_816. RNAcentral's name for it is "bacterial SSU rRNA". It matches the Rfam family "Bacterial small subunit ribosomal RNA", at positions 50 to 492 of the family's 1533-position model. The record is from RNAcentral.
CAAACAUGCAAGUCUAGGGUGUAGCAAUACUCACCGGCGGACGGGUGCGUAACACAGUGGAAUGUACCUACUGGUUCGGAACAACGCAGGGAAACUUGCGCUAAUACCGGAUAAGCCCUUCGGGGGAAAGAUUUAUCGCCAGUAGAUCAGCCCGCGUCCGAUUAGCUAGUUGGUGAGGUAACGGCUCACCAAGGCGACGAUCGGUAGCUGUUCUGAGAGGAAGAUCAGCCACACUGGGACUGAGACACGGCCCAGACUCCUACGGGAGGCAGCAGUUGGGAAUCUUGGACAAUGGGGGAAACCCUGAUCCAGCCAUGCCGCGUGAGUGAUGAAGGCCUUCGGGUUGUAAAACUCUUUCGACGGGGACGAUAAUGACGGUACCCGUAGAAGAAGCU